This is a long non-coding RNA of Suricata suricatta (meerkat), 231 nucleotides long. RefSeq lists it as uncharacterized. Lineage: Eukaryota; Metazoa; Chordata; Mammalia; Carnivora; Herpestidae. The transcript is spliced from 2 exons. The record is from RefSeq and is a predicted model, not a curated record.
CCUGAUAUGACUGUAAACGGUACGGCCGCUGGGAAGGGAGUUAGCAACGCAUAACGAACCUACAAGGACAUGCUGAAUAUUAACUUAAGAACCGAAAAAGACCCUCCAUGUCUUGAUGGAUGUUGAACCUAAGUUGGAUUUGGAGCAUGCUUUGGAUUUUUGUAUUACUACUUCUCUCAACAUAAGUCAUUCACAACAUUUACUCAAUAAAUAUUUAUCUACUGUUCUUUA